AGCCUCAGUUGAAGUGGAAGACUCAGGAAUGAAAGGGUCAUGGAGAAGGAUAAAAGCUUGGCACCUUACGGCAGUGUCAGAGGCACUGAAGAGAGCCCAGAAGAGGCGCGCAGUGAAGGUGCACCCCAGUUGCAGUGGAGACGGGAGCAUUUUGGAGAUGCCUGCAUUUUGGAAUGACUGCCAAGGCCAGCAGCAGCGUGCCCCGAGCCUAAGAUAAGCCCGAGAUAAGCCGCAGGAGCUGUGGGUAGCAGAGUCGGGGAAACCUAUUAAGGCCCUUUGGAGCCCAGAGGAUUGUGAGUGGGUCGCGGACAUGAAGAUCUGAGCGCUAUACUGUAGGACUUCGGUUUUGUUUUGUUUUGUUUUUUAUUUGAUUGUCGCUGUGUCCUGGUUGUUCCCUCCUGGAGUAAGAACAUGGAUUCUGGGAGAUUGGGUUCCACGAAGCAAGCACUAAAUCAUCUCUGAACCCUUCAUAUUCAGAAGGCCUUUAAUGCCCAUGCCUCCUGCCGUGGACCAUCAACAAAAAGAACUGUGCAUAAUAAACCUCCUCCCCGACUAA
Molecule: non-coding RNA, 556 nt
Organism: Rattus norvegicus (Norway rat)
Lineage: Eukaryota; Metazoa; Chordata; Mammalia; Rodentia; Muridae
Source: RefSeq, a predicted model, not a curated record